GAUUGCAGAGAUAAAAACACGAUCCGGUAGGUAGUCCGGAUGCAGCUAUGCUGUCAGUAACCUGCCCUCCUGGGGUUGUCCCUUCUCAAAAAAUGCACA
This 99-nucleotide non-coding RNA is filed under the name Fusibacter sp. 3D3. RNAcentral's name for it is "Fusibacter sp. 3-D3-R-P8ASC2010 azaaromatic riboswitch aptamer (yjdF RNA)". It matches the Rfam family "azaaromatic riboswitch aptamer (yjdF RNA)". RNAcentral also lists the same sequence under 1 other name. Lineage: Bacteria; Bacillati; Bacillota; Clostridia; Eubacteriales; Fusibacteraceae. The record is from Rfam by way of RNAcentral.